Molecule: long non-coding RNA, 1630 nt
Filed under: Fukomys damarensis (Damara mole-rat)
Lineage: Eukaryota; Metazoa; Chordata; Mammalia; Rodentia; Bathyergidae
Description: lncRNA (ENSFDAG00000029271.1)
Source: RNAcentral
CUGAUAAACAGGGUGACGUCUACCUUUUAAGGAACCCAAGCACAGAGCUGGGCCGUGCAGACCGGGUGAGAGCAAGCUUGGACUGAAGCUGGCAUUCAUCCUCAGGUUUUGGUCUGUCGUGAAGGGGUUUUGGCAGCUCUGCUCCCAUUACGCUAUGCCCAAGGAAGACCAGGCACUGAUGCAGUGCCCUGAUGUCAUCUCUGCACACAUCGUCUGUGUCACAGCUUCAUGCAGGACCAAGGUAUCGGCGCUCCACAGACCUAUUCCCGCUGGGCCCUGGCUUGGGAACUUGGGCUGUCAGAGGGAUAGGUGCAUGUCACAUGCCGGAGCUGCUGCUGUCCCCAGGAAAGAGAAGAUCACAGGCAUCCUCACUCUCUCCUCCAACCUGGAUUGCUCAUCUGGAUUAUGGGUGUGACGCUGUCAUCCCAAGAAGUUAUAAAAUUAUGUAACCUUCACAUAGCUGUCUGAAAUUCUUUAUAACUUUAAAUAGGCACAACAAAGGAUAGCAACCUAUUUAAACAUUGGCCAUUUAAAAUGGAAGUGCUAAAUUAUUCUUUUACAUGAUCUAGGUGGAUUCAGUGGUUUGACAGUCACCAGUGCCCACUCUCCUGCGUACGUGACCAUGCAUUCAGUCACCGACACAGCCUUCACAACUAAUCUGCUCUCUUUUCUCUCUGAGUAUCGGUUCCCGUUUUAUCUCCCCCAACAGAACUGUAAUGUGGUCUUACUCCCGAAAUUAUGGUCUUUUGUUGAUUAUUUCAUCUGUGUUCUCUAUAAAUAUAUAUCAAUUGAAAUUAUUUUUUUAUUCCAGUGACCAUAAAGCUUAAUCAUUUUUUUUUUCUUUCCGGAUUGCAGUCUCAUUACAAUUGAUGAGGACAAUAACAUUGCACACAUUUUGGAAAUUUUAAAUUAAAAAAUGAAAUUAAAAUUAAGUGAAUAUACUUGCCCUGAUGACAGGAAAAACUAAAAGUCCUAAAAAAAAUUAUCUGCCAAUCUAUGGAUGAUACUAUGAUAGUGUAAGACAUAGUUCAACGUUAAUUUUAUUCUGUUUUUCCUCUUUAUACAAGUAAAGAGCAGCAACAUUGUUCAUAUAGAGGGAUGGAAAUCAAAGGGGCCACAAAUUCUGAGAUUCCUUGAACUCUUUCUGCAUUACAUACUAAAAAAUUUUUACCCAAUUACAUCAUAAGUUCGUAUCAGAAGUAUUUCCAGUGUUCUUUUAUAUUACAUGGAAUGAAGAGCCUCCUUCAUUGUGUUGGGGGAACAGAAAAACCUUUGGCUAUCUUUCUGCCCGGCAUUCCUUUAAUGGCCUCCUAGGCACAGAGAGGUCUGUGUCCCUGGGAAAUGAUGUGUGUGCCUUCUUAUUCUCUGUGUGCGCCAUGGCAGAGGGGACCCCACCUCCUCCACUGGCACAUUUCAGGCAGAUCCCUCCUAGAAAGCAUGACAAAGGGACGAGGACUUCAAUUUCAUUUCCCUUAACACGCCUCGGGGCCUGAGCAUCUUUAUUUCCCCAAGGAGUAUACACCCUGCUGUUCAGAGAUUGCUUCAGGAGAUUUUCCAUUCCACAUGGGUGGGACCAGAUACAAAGUAAGUACCAAACUACAAGAUUGUUAACAAUGACAUUAUUCCACCU